GUCGGGAAUUUUGGGCAAUGGGCGAAAGCCUGACCCAGCAACGCCGCGUGAGGGAUGAAGUAUUUCGGUAUGUAAACCUCGAAAGAAUGGGAAGAAUAAAUGACGGUACCAUUUAUAAGCUCCGGCUAACUACGUGCCAGCAGCCGCGGUAAUACGUAGGGAGCAAGCGUUGUUCGGAUUUACUGGGCGUAAAGGGCGCGUAGGCGGCGCGGUAAGUCACUUGUGAAAUCUCUGAGCUUAACUCAGAACGGCCAAGUGAUACUGCUGUGCUAGAGUGCGGAAGAGGCAACCGGAAUUCUUGGUGUAGCGGUGAAAUGCGUAGAUAUCAAGAGGGACACCUGAGGCGAAGGCGGGUUGCUGGGCCGACACUGACGCUGAUGCGCGAAAGCCAGGGGAGCAAACG
Molecule: ribosomal RNA, 403 nt
Filed under: uncultured bacterium
Lineage: Bacteria
Description: bacterial SSU rRNA
Rfam family: Bacterial small subunit ribosomal RNA
Source: RNAcentral